AGGCCAUAAUGUUGGCACUUCCUUAGCAAGUUGUUCAAACGCUCCCAUGCUUCAUGUAAGGGCUCUCCAUCUCCUUGGGCAAAAUCACAAAUUAAAGUUCUAAUUGA
This is a small nucleolar RNA of Cornus florida, 107 nucleotides long. The record is from RefSeq and is a predicted model, not a curated record. Lineage: Eukaryota; Viridiplantae; Streptophyta; Magnoliopsida; Cornales; Cornaceae.